GAUGAACGCUGGCGGCGUGCCUAAUACAUGCAAGUCGAGCGAACAGACGAGGAGCUUGCUCCUCUGACGUUAGCGGCGGACGGGUGAGUAACACGUGGAUAACCUACCUAUAAGACUGGGAUAACUUCGGGAAACCGGAGCUAAUACCGGAUAAUAUAUUGAACCGCAUGGUUCAAUAGUUAAAGACGGUUUUGCUGUCACUUAUAGAUGGAUCCGCGCCGCAUUAGCUAGUUGGUAAGGUAACUGCUUACCAAGGCGACGAUGCGUAGCCGACCUGAGAGGGUGAUCGGCCACACUGGAAGUGAGACACGGUCCAGACUCCUACGGGAGGCAGCAGUAGGGAAUCUUCCGCAAUGGGCGAAAGCCUGACGGAGCAACGCCGCGUGAGUGAUGAAGGUCUUCGGAUCGUAAAACUCUGUUAUUAGGGAAGAACAAAUGUGUAAGUAACUAUGCACGUCUUGACGGUACCUAAUCAGAAAGCCACGGCUAACUACGUG
Molecule: ribosomal RNA, 497 nt
Filed under: uncultured bacterium
Lineage: Bacteria
Description: partial 16S ribosomal RNA
Rfam family: Bacterial small subunit ribosomal RNA
Source: RNAcentral